Molecule: ribosomal RNA, 775 nt
Filed under: uncultured Neocallimastigales
Lineage: Eukaryota; Fungi; Neocallimastigomycota; Neocallimastigomycetes; Neocallimastigales
Description: partial large subunit ribosomal RNA
Rfam family: Eukaryotic large subunit ribosomal RNA
Source: RNAcentral
UCAGACGAUGCGUCAUGCAUAUCAAUAAGCGGAGGAAAAGAAACUAACAAGGAUUCCCUUAGUAACGGCGAGUGAAGCAGGGAAGAGCUCAAAUUUGAAAUCUUCAAGGUUUUACCUUGACGAAUUGUAGUUUAAAGAAGUGUUUUCUGCUGAAGUUUUGGUAAAAGUUCUUUGGAAUAGGACAUCAUAGAGGGUGAGAAUCCCGUAUUUGACCAUUAUUUUCAGCUGUGUGAUACACUUUCAAAGAGUCGGAUUGUUUGGGAAUGCAGUCCAAAAUGGGUGGUAAAUUUCAUCUAAAGCUAAAUAUUGGCGAGAGACCGAUAGCGAACAAGUACCGUGAGGGAAAGAUGAAAAGAACUUUGAAAAGAGAGUUAAACAGUACGUGAAAUUGUCAAAAGGGAAGCGUUUGACACCAGUGUUGUUUUCUCGAAAAUCAAUUAAAAAGUGUUUGAUUUUGUUGUGUAUUGACCUUAACAGCUUGCAUUUCAAUUUUCUUGCUUUUUUUAAUGCACUUUUCGUUUAACAAGUCAACAUCAGUUUCUUUUGUUGUAAAAAGGUCAUUGGAAGGUGGCUUUCUUUUCGGAGAAAGUGUUUAUAGCCUUUGACUCCUGCAAUCGGAGAGACUGAGGUCUGCAGCGUAGAUCCUUCGGGGUUAGAUACAUUUGUGCUAAGUUAUAGCUUUUUAUAGACAACUUGUUGACUAUGAUUAGUCUUGUAGCUUACUCGCUUAUGCUAUUUUACCUACGCUUAGGAUGUUGAUCUGUAGUGCGUGCGC